Molecule: long non-coding RNA, 286 nt
Organism: Apis dorsata (giant honeybee)
Lineage: Eukaryota; Metazoa; Arthropoda; Insecta; Hymenoptera; Apidae
Exons: 2
Source: RefSeq, a predicted model, not a curated record
CGCCAAGACGGAGGAAGAUCUGGCCCUUACCCCUCGGAUAGAUUGGGCGGGGAAAGAAAACAGGGGAGAGAAGAGGACUACUGAGGAGGAGGAAAAAGAGGGAAGGGAGAGAGAAAAAGCGUAUACCAUCGCGCUAGCUUGUAAGGCGGUAUGACCAGCAAAUACACCAUUUACAUCAGCCUCAGGUCUUUUUAAACAUUCUUCGCAUUUAGCAGCGUCACCAUUUGCAGCAGUUUUCACUAGUUCUUCGUUCACAUCACCCGAGACAUGUGUUUCAAACAAUUUU